Ctenopharyngodon idella (grass carp) is the source of this 2629-nucleotide long non-coding RNA. RefSeq lists it as uncharacterized. The record is from RefSeq and is a predicted model, not a curated record. The transcript is spliced from 2 exons. NCBI's taxonomy places the organism in Eukaryota, Metazoa, Chordata, Actinopteri, Cypriniformes, Xenocyprididae.
UCUGCAGUAACACUUUAUAUUAAGGUGACGUACUUACAUUUUACUUACUCAAAUAAGUACUGAGUAAUAAUAAUUAACUAUAAACUGCGUGUUUUUGCUCACACCCAAAUUUGACAAGCUAUAAUAAAUGAUCUGUGGGGUAUUUUGAGCUGAAACUUCACAGACACAUUCUGGGACACCAGAGACUUAUGUUACAUCUUGUGAAAGGGGCAUUAUAGGUCCCCUUUAAAUUAAGUUUAUUUUUCUGACCUCAUUGGCAGAUAAAGUCUUAAUAUCUUCAGUCAUUUCUCUUCUCCAGUAAAUGUAUCUUGAUUUAAGAAUGUUUAGAUUUUUGUGCUGAAAACAAGACAGAAACACUGAGGAAGAACAUGAUUUUUGUCAGCAUGUAGUACAAGGAGUUUUUUAUGAAAUUGGUGUUGCAGAAACACGGGAAGAACAAGCGUCAGACGGGAAGCUUCUUCACUGUUUCCCCCUCACUGUCUUUGAGUAAAAUAUAAUGUUAGAUAUUUUUUCUUUUAUUUUAGGCCAUGUUUGUGAGAUUCAGCCUGUUUGUCUUUAACCCAGUGACCUUCAGCAGUGUGUUUGUCAGCACUAAACUCCCACAGAUUAAACCGCAGAUAUUAGAGCGCAGACGAAGCCCUUACCGGACGUGCUCACACUGUUCCCAGUAUUACUGUGUUUUGACUUUUGUGGUCUGUUUUAGAGUCGGAUCGACACAUUCUCAGCUCUGCGUUCGGAUGAAUUCACACGCAAAGUGGUUAAUGUUAGUUUAUCAUUAACUCUGGAGUUACGGGCGAUUGUUCGCUCUCAUGAUGAUUCAGUUCUACAGAAGCUGAAUCUAUGUUUAGAAAUCAACAUAAAACACAUGAAGAGGGUCGGAUGGUUUUACACAUUCCUCUUUUGUAGUUUUUUUUAAUCAUAAUGUCAUACAUGAUCUGAAGAGGGUUUGCAGAGGGUUUGUGAUGCCGGUAUGAGCGCUUCCUCAUGUUCAUCAGGCUGAUCGACUCCUUGAACUCUUGAUGAACUGGUGAACGUCUGUGAAUCACAGCGAUGAUGUGCAAAUGAUCAGCAUGAGGAGAACAGCUGAUUGUGAGGAGAUUUCUCUUUAAUUAGUGCAAGACGACAGAGCUCUGAAUCAUGUGUGUGUGUAUAGUGAGUAAGUGUGUAUGUAUGUAUGUGUGAGUGUGUAUAAUGUAUGUGUGUGUGUGAGUGUGUAUAGUGUGUGUGUGUGUGUGUGUGUGUGUAUGUGCUUGCAGGUGUGCGUGUUUUUGUGAUUUAUGAGGACACAAAUGUGUAUAAUGACAUUGGUAUUACACUGGUAUUACGACGUAAACAUGAAAUAUGAGGACAUUUCAUGAGUCCUCAUUUAAAAUAGCUUUAAAAACAUACUAAACAGUGUUUUAUUAAAAAUGUAAAAAAGCAGACAGUUUCCUGUGAUGGGUAGAGUUAGGGGUAGUGUAGGGCGAGAGAAUGUACAGUUUGUACAGUAUAAAAACCAUUACGCCUAUGGAGAGUCCUCACUAAGAUAGCAAAACAAACCUGUGUGUGUGUGUGUGUGUGUGAGUGUGUGUGAGUGAGUGUGUAUAAUGUGAGUGUGUAUAGUGUGUGUGUGUGUGUGUGUGUGUGAGUGUGUGUGAGUGAGUGUGUAUAAUGUGAGUGUGUAUAGUGUGUGUGUGUGUGUGUGUGAGUGAGUGUGAGUGAGUGUGUAUAAUGUGAGUGUGUAUAGUGUGUGUGUGUGUGUGUGUGUGUGUGCCCACACAUGCUCUACUGUCUCUAAAGCCAAGACGUGACACCUGCUGAAUCACCAGUGAGAUUCACCUGAGUCAUUUAGAUAAAUAGAGGCAUCAGCAGCAGCGAGACACACAGAGCCGCUGAACGCUGAAGCUUCACACACUGACGCUUGAGCUUCACUCAAAGCAUGUUUAAAAGUCUUUGCUUGCUCUUCUUUAGAGACGGCCAGCAGGGUGGAUUAUUGUGAUGGACUCCUCACUGGCCUUCCCAAAAACACCGUAAGACAUCUGCAGCUCGUACAGAACGCUGAGCAGAAGCAGAAAACAUGAACACAUCACACCAGUCCUCAGGUCCCUGCACUGGCUUCCAGUUGCAUUUAGAAUUGAUUUUAAAGUACUGUUACUUGUGUAUAAAUCACUCAAUGGCCUAGGACCUCAAUACAUUGCAGAUAUGCUCAUAGAAUAUAAAGCUAACAGAUCACUCAGAAAUAUCAAGGGUUCGCUCUAAACAAGAGUUUUCUUUUAUCUGUUACGCCAGCCGCAGCUGAACCAGCUUCCAGAAGAGAUCAGAUGUGCUCCAACAGCAGUCACAUUCACAUCCAGACUCAAAACACUUCUGUUUACGCUGUGCUACAUCCCAACUGACUGCACUGUAUUUUAUUUAUGUAUGUUUUUUAUCAAUUUUUUUAUCAAUAUCAAUUUUUAUUCUCCACUUUUAUUGCUAUUUCUAUUUUUAUGAACUGCACUGUAUUUUCUUAACUGUUUUAAUGCAUUUUAUAUCAACCUUUUAAUUCUUAUGUGUUUGUUUCCUUUCUAUGUAAAGCACUUUGAAUUACCAUUGUGUAUGAAAUGUGCUGUAUAAAUAAACUUGCCUUGCACAAAGAGGUCAAAAUCCUUCA